CAUUAUCUUCUAAGCUCUACA
This 21-nucleotide unclassified non-coding RNA is filed under the name Mus musculus (house mouse). Its description in RNAcentral is "oocyte_clustered_small_RNA5925". The record is from RNAcentral. Lineage: Eukaryota; Metazoa; Chordata; Mammalia; Rodentia; Muridae.